Molecule: ribosomal RNA, 251 nt
Filed under: uncultured prokaryote
Description: partial 16S rRNA
Rfam family: Bacterial small subunit ribosomal RNA
Source: RNAcentral
ACGGAGGGUGCGAGCGUUAAUCGGAAUCACUGGGCGUAAAGCGCACGUAGGCGGUGUCGUAAGUCGGAUGUGAAAGCCCUCGGCUCAACCGGGGAACUGCAUUCGAUACUGGCACGCUUGAGAGCCGGAGAGGGUGGCGGAACUCCAGGGGUAGGAGUGAAAUCCUGGAAUCCUUGGGGGACCACCUGUGGCGAAGGCGUCCCACCAGGACGGCUCCGACAGUGAGGAGCGAAAGCGGGGGGAGCAAACCG